UAAAAGGAUUUAUCCACCUUAGGAAGAGCUCGCGCCUGAUUAGCUAGUUGGUGGGGUAAAGGCCCACCAAGGCCAUGAUCAGUAGCUGGUUUGAGAGGACGAUCAGCCACACUGGGACUGAGACACGGCCCAGACUCCUACGGGAGGCAGCAGUGGGGAAUUUUCCGCAAUGGGCGAAAGCCUGACGGAGCAAUACCGCGUGAGGGAUGAAAGCCUGUGGGUUGUAAACCUCUUUUCUCAAGGAAGAAGUUCUGACGGUACUUGAGGAAUAAGCAUCGGCUAACUCUGUGCCAGCAGCCGCGGUAAUACAGAGGAUGCAAGCGUUAUCCGGAAUCACUGGGCAUAAAGCGUCUGUAGGUGGUUUAAUAAGUCUGCUGUUAAAGACUAGGGCUUAACCCUAGGAAAGCAGUGGAAACUGUUAGACUUGAGUAUGGUAGAGGUACAGGGAAUUCCUAGUGUAGCGGUGAAAUGCGUAGAUAUUAGGAAGAACACCAAUGGCGAAAGCACUGUACUGGGCCACAACUGACACUGAGAGACGACAGCUAGGGGAGCAAAUGGGAUUAGAUACCCCAGUAGUCCUAGCCGUAAACGAUGGAUACUAGGUGUAGCUUGUAUCGACCCAAGCUGUGCCGUAGCUAACGCGUUAAGUAUCCCGCCUGGGGAGUACGCGCGCAAGCGUGAAACUCAAAGGAAUUGACGGGGGCCCGCACAAGCGGUGGAGUAUGUGGUUUAAUUCGAUGCAACGCGAAGAACCUUACCAAGGCUUGACAUAUACCGGAAACGGCCAGAGAUGGUCGCCCCGCAAGGUCGGUAUACAGGUGGUGCAUGGUUGUCGUCAGCUCGUGUCGUGAGAUGUUGGGUUAAGUCCCGCAACGAGCGUAACCCUUAUUUUUAGUUGCCAUCAUUUAGUUGGGCACUUUAAAAAGACUGCCGGUGAUAAACCGGAGGAAGGUGAGGACGACGUCAAGUCAGCAUGCCCCUUACGCCCUGGGCUACACACGUACUACAAUGGUCGAGACAAAGAGUCGCAAGUCUGCGAAGGCAAGCUAAUCUCAUAAACUCGAUCUCAGUUCGGAUUGCAGGCUGCAACUCGCCUGCAUGAAGGCGGAAUCGCUAGUAAUCGCAGGUCAGCACUACUGCGGUGAAUACGUUCCCGGGCCUUGUACACACCGCCCGUCACACCAUGGAAGUUGGCCACGCCCGAAGUCGUUACCCUAACCAUUCGUGGAGGGGGAUGCCGAAGGCAGGGCUGAUGACUGGGGUGAAG
Molecule: ribosomal RNA, 1267 nt
Filed under: Hemiselmis andersenii
Lineage: Eukaryota; Cryptophyceae; Cryptomonadales; Hemiselmidaceae
Description: partial Bacterial small subunit ribosomal RNA
Rfam family: Bacterial small subunit ribosomal RNA
Source: RNAcentral